GAAAACGUUUGCCGAUUUUAACU
Molecule: non-coding RNA, 23 nt
Filed under: Arabidopsis thaliana (thale cress)
Lineage: Eukaryota; Viridiplantae; Streptophyta; Magnoliopsida; Brassicales; Brassicaceae
Source: RNAcentral